AAAUAGAUUGUCCUAAAUAAGCCUGAUGGCAUGCAGAAGUUGGUUAAUCUCUCCCCGUGAAGAAAUCGGUUCGCAGGUAUCGACUUGGGUCUGUUGUAUGUUUGAAGGUGUCCAUAUAAAGAGGUGUCUUUCAUCAUGCACCUGUUGUAGCCAUAGUAUCCGUGCAUACGUCAAGCAAUAUCAAAUCAUCAUUGAUCUAUUUGCACCAUAAUUAUUUUUGUUCUGUAGAUCUUAGUGUUUGCUGAGCAGAAAAAUCUCUCAUUGGUGUUUCCCUUUCCCGUGUUUCCCUUUGCUGAUGUAGCUUUUGGUAC
Papaver somniferum (opium poppy) is the source of this 311-nucleotide long non-coding RNA. RefSeq lists it as uncharacterized. The transcript is spliced from 3 exons. The record is from RefSeq and is a predicted model, not a curated record. Lineage: Eukaryota; Viridiplantae; Streptophyta; Magnoliopsida; Ranunculales; Papaveraceae.